CCUACGGGAGGCAGCAGUGGGGAAUAUUGGACAAUGGGGGGAACCCUGAUCCAGCGACGCCGCGUGAGUGAAGAAGUAUUUCGGUAUGUAAAGCUCUAUCAGCAGGGAAGAAAGAAAUGACGGUACCUGACUAAGAAGCCCCGGCUAACUACGUGCCAGCAGCCGCGGUAAUACGUAGGGGGCAAGCGUUAUCCGGAUUUACUGGGUGUAAAGGGAGCGUAGACGGCGAUGCAAGUCUGAAGUGAAAGGCGGGGGCUCAACCCCCGGACUGCUUUGGAAACUGUAUGGCUGGAGUGCAGGAGAGGUAAGUGGAAUUCCUAGUGUAGCGGUGAAAUGCGUAGAUAUUAGGAGGAACACCAGUGGCGAAGGCGGCUUACUGGACUGUAACUGACGUUGAGGCUCGAAAGCGUGGGGAGCAAACAGGAUUAGAUACCCGAGUAGUC
Molecule: ribosomal RNA, 443 nt
Filed under: uncultured bacterium
Lineage: Bacteria
Description: partial 16S ribosomal RNA
Rfam family: Bacterial small subunit ribosomal RNA
Source: RNAcentral